UGGCGAAGAGGUCACACCCGUUCCCAUACCGAACACGGAAGUUAAGCUCUUCAGCGCCGAUGGUAGUUGGGGGUCUCCCCCUGUGAGAGUAGGACGUCGCUGGGC
Molecule: ribosomal RNA, 105 nt
Filed under: Psychrobacillus psychrodurans
Lineage: Bacteria; Bacillati; Bacillota; Bacilli; Caryophanales; Bacillaceae
Source: RNAcentral